RNAcentral lists this ribosomal RNA (303 nucleotides) under uncultured bacterium. RNAcentral's name for it is "partial 16S ribosomal RNA". It matches the Rfam family "Bacterial small subunit ribosomal RNA", at positions 507 to 807 of the family's 1533-position model. The record is from RNAcentral.
AGCAGUCGCCGCGGGAAUACAGAGGGUGCGAGCGUUAAUCGGAUUUACUGGGCGUAAAGCGUGCGUAGGCGGCUUCUUAAGUUGGAUGUGAAAUCCCUGAGCUUAACUUAGGAAUUGCAUUCGAUACUGGGAAGCUAGAGUAUGGGAGAGGAUGGUAGAAUUCCAGGUGUAGCGGUGAAAUGCGUAGAGAUCUGGAGGAAUACCGAUGGCGAAGGCAGCCAUCUGGCCUAAUACUGACGCUGAGGUACGAAAGCAUGGGGAGCAAACAGGAUUAGAUACCCCGGUAGUCCCUGUCUCUUAUAC